RNAcentral lists this ribosomal RNA (868 nucleotides) under uncultured Alphaproteobacteria bacterium. RNAcentral's name for it is "bacterial SSU rRNA". It matches the Rfam family "Bacterial small subunit ribosomal RNA", at positions 621 to 1500 of the family's 1533-position model. Lineage: Bacteria; Pseudomonadati; Pseudomonadota; Alphaproteobacteria. The record is from RNAcentral.
CUGCCAUCAAAACUUUUUAGCUAGAGUAUGAUAGAGGAAAGCAGAAUUUCUAGUGUAGAGGUGAAAUUCGUAGAUAUUAGAAAGAAUACCAAUUGCGAAGGCAGCUUUCUGGAUCAUUACUGACGCUGAGGAACGAAAGCAUGGGUAGCGAAGAGGAUUAGAUACCCUCGUAGUCCAUGCCGUAAACGAUGUGUGUUAGACGUUGGAAAUUUAUUUUCAGUGUCGCAGCGAAAGCGUUAAACACACCGCCUGGGGAGUACGACCGCAAGGUUAAAACUCAAAUGAAUUGACGGGGACCCGCACAAGUAGUGGAGCAUGUGGUUUAAUUCGAAGAUACGCGCAGAACCUUACCAACACUUGACAUGUUCGUCGCGACUCUAAGAGAUUAGAGUUUUCGGUUCGGCCGGACGAAACACAGGUGCUGCAUGGCUGUCGUCAGCUCGUGUCGUGAGAUGUUGGGUUAAGUCCCGCAACGAGCGCAACCCUCACUUUUAGUUGCCAUCAUUUAGUUGGGCACUCUGAAAGAACUGCCAGUGAUAAGCUGGAGGAAGGUGGGGAUGACGUCAAGUCCUCAUGGCCCUUACGUGUUGGGCUACACACGUGCUACAAUGGCAUUUGCAAUAGGAAGCAAGAUGGCGACAUCAAGCAAAUCCUAAAAAGAUGCCUCAGUUCGGAUUGUACUCUGCAACUCGAGUACAUGAAGCUGGAAUUACUAGUAAUCGCGGAUCAGCGCGCCGCGGUGAAUACGUUCCCGGGUCUUGUACACACCGCCCGUCACACCAUGGGAGUUGGUUCUACCUUAAGGCAAGGUUUUAAACCCUUGACUACGGUAUAGUCAGCGACUGGGGUGAAGUCGUAACAAGGUAAC